This 254-nucleotide ribosomal RNA is filed under the name uncultured bacterium. RNAcentral's name for it is "partial 16S ribosomal RNA". It matches the Rfam family "Bacterial small subunit ribosomal RNA", at positions 524 to 776 of the family's 1533-position model. The record is from RNAcentral.
UACGGGGGGAGCAAGCGUUGUUCGGAUUUACUGGGCGUAAAGGGCGCGUAGGCGGUCAGCACAAGUCAGUUGUGAAAUCUCCGGGCUUAACCCGGAAAGGUCAACUGAUACUGUGCGACUAGAGUGCGGAAGGGGCAACUGGAAUUCUCGGUGUAGCGGUGAAAUGCGUAGAUAUCGGGAGGAGCACCGGUGGCGAAGGCGGGUCUCUGGGCCGAUACUGACGCUGAGGAGCGAAAGCGUGGGGAGCGAACAGG